This 1172-nucleotide ribosomal RNA is filed under the name metagenome. RNAcentral's name for it is "SSU rRNA". It matches the Rfam family "Eukaryotic small subunit ribosomal RNA", at positions 454 to 1777 of the family's 1831-position model. The record is from RNAcentral.
ACUCAGGGAGGUAGUGACCAGAAAUAACGACGACGGGUUUCGAUUCGUCGAUUGCAAUGAGCACAAUGUAAAAUUCUUAGCGAGUACCGACUGGAGGGCAAGUCUGGUGCCAGCAGCCGCGGUAAUUCCAGCUCCAGUAGCGUAUAUUAAUGUUGUUGCAGUUAAAAAGCUCGUAGUUGGACGUCUCUGCGACACGCAGCUCCGCCACGCAACUGGGCACGCUCUUAACUGAGCGGCCGAGACCUGCGGGCCCUUUACCUUGAGGAAACUAGAGUGUUUAAGGCAGGCUCCGCCUGAAUACUGCAGCUGGGAAUAAUGCGCACGACUGUCUUGGCGAGGCAGCUCCACACUUUUAAUAGGAACAGUUGGGGGCAUUCGUACUCAGCAGUCAGAGGUGAAAUUCUUGGAUUUGCUGAAGACGGACUAGUGCGAAAGCAUUUGCCAAGGAUGUUUUCAUUAAUCAAGAACGAAAGUUAAGGGAUCCAAGACGAUCAGAUACCGUCCUAGUCUUAACCAUAAACGAUGCCGACUAGGGAUCGGGAGAGACGUACACACUCUCUCGGCACCUCACGAGAAAUCCAAGUCUUUGGGUUCUGGGGGGAGUAUGGUCGCAAGACUGAAACUUAAAGGAAUUGACGGAAGGGCACCACAAGGAGUGGAGCCUGCGGCUUAAUUUGACCCAACACGGGGAAACUUACCAGGUCCAGACAUAGUGAGGAUUGACAGGUUGACAGCUCUUUCUUGAUCCUAUGGGUGGUGGUGCAUGGCCGUUCCUAGUUGGUGGAGUGAUCUGUCUGGUUAAUUCCGAUAACGAACGAGACCUCAGCCUGCUAACUAGAUCUUCUUAGAGGGACUUCCUGCUCGCACAGGAGGAAGUGAGGCAAUAACAGGUCUGUGAUGCCCUUAGAUGUCCUGGGCCGCACGCGCGCUACACUGACGCAACCUGCCAGUUCCAAGCCCGAACCGGCCUGGCAAACUGCCAACUGCGUCGUAGUUGGAACUGACCCUUGCAAUUCUUGGUCACGAACCAGGAAUUCCUAGUAAGCGCAAGUCAUCAGCUUGCACUGACUAAGUCCCUGCCCUUUGUACACACCGCCCGUCGCUCCUACCGAUUCCGAGUGAUCAGGUGAACCUCUCGGACCCUGGAAGUUAAGUGAACCUUAUCACUUAGA